This 505-nucleotide ribosomal RNA is filed under the name uncultured bacterium. Its description in RNAcentral is "partial 16S ribosomal RNA". It matches the Rfam family "Bacterial small subunit ribosomal RNA", at positions 28 to 507 of the family's 1533-position model. The record is from RNAcentral.
GACGAACGCUGGCGGCGUGCCUAAUACAUGCAAGUAGAACGCACAGUUUAUACCGUAGCUUGCUACACCAUAGACUGUGAGUUGCGAACGGGUGAGUAACGCGUAGGUAACCUGCCUGGUAGCGGGGGAUAACUAUUGGAAACGAUAGCUAAUACCGCAUAAUAUUGAUUAUUGCAUGAUAAUUAAUUGAAAGGUGCAAUUGCACCACUACCAGAUGGACCUGCGUUGUAUUAGCUAGUAGGUGAGGUAACGGCUCACCUAGGCGACGAUACAUAGCCGACCUGAGAGGGUGAUUGGCCACACUGGGACUGAGACACGGCCCAGACUCCUACGGGAGGCAGCAGUAGGGAAUCUUCGGCAAUGGACGAAAGUCUGACCGAGCAACGCCGCGUGAGUGAAGAAGGUUUUCGGAUCGUAAAGCUCUGUUGUAAGAGAAGAACGGGUGUGAGAGUGGAAAGUUCACACUGUGACGGUAUCUUACCAGAAAGGGACGGCUAACUACGUG